This 1774-nucleotide long non-coding RNA is filed under the name Salmo salar (Atlantic salmon). RNAcentral's name for it is "lncRNA (ENSSSAG00000102835.1)". The record is from RNAcentral. Lineage: Eukaryota; Metazoa; Chordata; Actinopteri; Salmoniformes; Salmonidae.
CUGUCCUCUAGGUAUCCUCUAGCUGUCCUCUAGGUGUCCUCUAGCUGUGCUCUAGGUAUCCUCUAGCUGUUCUCUAGCUACCCUCUACUCUAGGUGUUCUCUAGGUAUCCUCUAGCUGUCCUCUAGGUAUCCUUUAGCUGUCCUCUAGGUAUCCUCUAGCUGUCCUCUAGGUAUCCUCUAGGUAUCCUCUAGCUGUCCUCUAGCUGUCCUCUAGGUAUCCUCUAGCUGUUCUCUAGCUAUCCUCUACUCUAGGUGUUCUCUAGGUAUCCUUUAGGUGUCCUCUAGGUAUCCUCUAGCUGUCCUCUAGGUAUCCUCUAGCUGUCCUCUAGGUAUCCUCUAGCUGUGCUCUAGGUAUCCUCUAGGUGUCCUCUAGCUGUCCUCUAGGUAUCCUCUAGCUGUCCUCUAGGUAUCCUCUAGCUGUCCUCUAGGUAUCCUCUAGCUGUCCUCUAGGUAUCCUCUAGCUGUUCUCUAGCUAUCCUCUACUCUAGCUGUCCUCUAGGUAUCCUCUAGCUGUGCUCUAGGUAUCCUCUAGCUGUCCUCUAGGUAUCCUCUAGCUGUGCUCUAGGUAUCCUCUAGCUGUGCUCUAGGUGUCCUCUAGCUAUCCUCUAGGUACUUUCCCCAGUCCAGCUCUCUUUCAUCAGUGCAGAUUAAGGAAAGGAGUUGAAUCAGAAGAAGAGACAAAACGGGUGUGUCUCAAAUGUAACCCUUUUCACUUCAUAGUGCCCUACUUUUGACCCCGAACUUUAACCUUGUUCAAAAGUUGUGCACUAUGAAUAAGGUCCCAUUUGGAACGCAGACAAUACUGUAUGUCUAGGCUAUUGACACGCACCUAGAGGGGGAUUGACAUAUAGAUAAUUGAAGAGGUUCAUCCACAGGAGGAUAAAACAGAGUGGUACAGGAGGAUAAAACAGAGCGGUACAGGAGGAUAAAACAGAGCGGUACAGGAGGAUAAAACAGAGCGGUACAGGAGGAUAAAACAGAGCGGUACAGGGGGAUAAAACAGAGCGGUACAGGAGGAUAAAACAGAGCGGUACAGGAGGAUAAAACAGAGCGGUACAGGAGGAUAAAACAGAGCGGUACAGGAGGAUAAAACAGAGCGGUAGAGGAGGAUAAAACAGAGCAGUACAGGAGGAUAAAACAGAGCGGUACAGGAGGAUAAAACAGAGCAGUACAGGAGGAUAAAACAAGGGUACAGGAGGAUAAAACAGAGCUGUACAGGAGGAAAGAGAAGAACGGGGGAUUUUACACAGAAAGAAAGAGGAUGAAGAGAGGACAGGAAUUCAGUUUCGAAGGUUUCUCAUAACACAACUGAAAAGGGAAGAAGUUAUUUACUCCACUUCAAAUAUGAACCAGUUUCCUUCCAAUGCAUGAUCACAUGGUGUGUGGCCCAAUUGUCACACUAUUCACUAUAUAGUGCACUCAUUUUGAACAGGGCCCAUUUGGGCUCUGGUCAAAAGUAGUGUACUAUAUAGGGAAUGGGGUGCCAUUUCGGACUCACCCGUACUGUAUAGACACCUGAAACAUAUGUGCAGUUAAGUACGUCACAGGCACUUUUGACAGGGCACAUACAGGGCUCUGAUCAAAAGUAGUGCACUAUAGAGGGAAUAAGGUGCCAUCUGGGACACAGCCUUUGUAUUUCAACAGUAUCACUGUAUUGUAUUGUUAGUCAGCUGUGUUGUCAUGGUUCCUAGCUCAGGUGUUUUGAGUGGCCUACAUUUUGUUGUUUUUUGUAAGGAAUUUAUUCAAUCAAUGAUUUUGAAAAAAUGUAAUUAUA